CCCUUAGACGUUCUGGGCCGCACGUGCGCUACACUGACGAAGGCAACGAGCUUUCCUUUACCGAAAGGUACGGGUAAUCUUUUGAAACUUCGUCGUGCUGGGGAUAGAUCCUUGCAAUUAUUGAUCUUAAACGAGGAAUUCCUAGUAAGCGCAAGUCAUCAACUUGCGUUGAUUACGUCCCUGCCCUUUGUACACACCGCCCGUCGCUACUACCGAUUGAAUGGUUUAGUGAGGCCUUCGGAUCCGCGACUCGUUUUGUGGAGAAGUUGGACAAACUCAGUCAUUUAGAGGAAGUAAAAGUCGUAACA
Molecule: ribosomal RNA, 308 nt
Filed under: uncultured eukaryote
Lineage: Eukaryota
Description: partial 18S ribosomal RNA
Rfam family: Eukaryotic small subunit ribosomal RNA
Source: RNAcentral